UGAAGUAGCCAAGAAAGCAGCAUGCGGGCCCCCAUACCCCAUAGGAACACCGAACCUCUGCGCGGACCCCACCACAAUAUCCGCCCCCAAUUCGCCAGGUGGCUUCAGCAUCGUCAAGGCCAACAAAUCCGAAGCCAUCACCACCUUCACACCAUUAGCAUGAGCGUUCUUGAUGAACUCGCCGUAGUCCAAAACCUCACCCUCUGUACCAGGGUACUGCACUAAAACGCCACAAACAUCGCCCGAUUUGUAAUCGAUGUCCUUAACAUCGGAUACAACUACUUUGAGAUCGAAUCCGUCCGCUCGGGUUUUGCAGAUGUCGAUUGUCUGCGGGUGGCAGUUGCUUGCUAUGAUGAAUGUCUUCUUCUUGCCUUUAAGGAUGUUGUUGCACAUGGCCAUGGCUUCGGCGGCGGCUGUGCCUUCGUCGAGGAGCGAGGCGUUCGACAUGGGCAAGGCGGUGAGAUCUGUGAUCAUGGUUUGGUAGUUGAGCAGGGAUUCGAGCCUGCCCUGUGAAAUCUCGGCCUGGUACGGUGUGUACUGUGUG
RNAcentral lists this long non-coding RNA (544 nucleotides) under Erythranthe guttata (spotted monkey flower). Its description in RNAcentral is "long non-coding RNA (EGUT_LNC002292)". Lineage: Eukaryota; Viridiplantae; Streptophyta; Magnoliopsida; Lamiales; Phrymaceae. The record is from RNAcentral.